CAAUAGCGUAUAUUAAAGUUGUUGCAGUUAAAAAGCUCGUAGUUGGAUUUCUGGUCGGAAGCUCCUGUCCUCUGAUGAGCGUACAAGUGCGUCCUACCAUCCUUCUGUUAACCUUUAAGGCUUUCGCGGCUUUCUAGGGGCUCAGAUAUUUUACCUUGAGAAAAUUAGAGUGUUUCAGGCAGGCCAGCGCCGGAAUACAUUAGCAUGGAAUAAUGGAAUAGGACUUUUGCCUCUUCUGUUGGUCAUGAGGCUCGAGUAAUGAUUAAUAGGGAUAGUUGGGGGCAUUAGUACUUAACUGUCAGAGGUGAAAUUCUCGGAUUUGUUAAAGACUAACUUAUGCGAAAGCAUUUGCCAAGGAUGUUUUCAUUAA
RNAcentral lists this ribosomal RNA (370 nucleotides) under uncultured eukaryote. Its description in RNAcentral is "partial 18S ribosomal RNA". It matches the Rfam family "Eukaryotic small subunit ribosomal RNA", at positions 592 to 976 of the family's 1831-position model. The record is from RNAcentral.